This is a non-coding RNA of Chrysemys picta bellii (western painted turtle), 507 nucleotides long. The record is from RefSeq and is a predicted model, not a curated record. NCBI's taxonomy places the organism in Eukaryota, Metazoa, Chordata, Testudines, Emydidae.
UCCUAGGAACUGCUGACUGGAGCUGGAACCGGUGUCAGAGAAGACCAUUUGUCCUGGACAUCAAGUCAGUGUAAACAGCACAUGUAAUUCGUUGACCUUUGAUGACUCAGAAGAAUUGCAAGUGGCCCAAGACGCUGAGAUAUGUUUGCUGAAGUCAGGAGAACUGAUGCUUUGGAUCAGUCCCUAUGUUAACCUCCAGGACCCUGACUCAUCUCAAGAUAUUCCAUUUAGUUGACCAUCCAGUUCAUCUUUCUUAUUAUAUCAGUACUACAUGUAAAGUGCCGUGGGAAGAUGUAUCAAAGAAAGAUGCAGGGUCCUUUUCUUUGUAGGAACAGAGAGGUCAGAGACCAUCACAACUGAGCUCUAUGCUGCUGAAAAUAUGAUUACAUUUAAAAGAUUCUAAUCAAGAUGGAAAUGAGAUUAAGGUGAGCAGCACAUAAGCAGGACGGCUCUAUUUAUUUUGCCACCCCAAGCACAGCAGUCAGGCCGCCUUCCUGCUUUCCUGCC